CAGUAGGUAAUAUUGGGCAAUGGGCGGAAGCCUGACCCAGCCAUGCCUCGUGCUGGAAGAAGGCCUUCUGGGUUGUAAACGGCUUUUGAGGGGGAAGAAUAAGGGGACUGCGGUCUUUGAUGCCGGUACCUCUCGAAUAAGCACCGGCUAACUCCGUGCCAGCAGCCGCGGUAAUACGGAGGGUGCGAGCGUUGUCCGGAUUUAUUGGGUUUAAAGGGUGCGUAGGCGGCUGCUUAAGUCGACAUUGAAAGGCGGUGGCUCAACCAUCGAGUGGGUGUCGAUACUGAGCGGCUCGAGAGGCGAUGAGGUUGGCGGAAUGGGUGGUGUAGCGGUGAAAUGCAUAGAUACCAUCCGGAACACGGAAGGCGUAGGCAUCCAACUGCUCCUGCUCUGACGGUGAGGCACGAAAGUGUUGGGAGCGAACAGGAUUAGAUACCCUGGUAGUCCACUCUUUUUACGAUGAUCACUCGUGUUCAUGACUUCUAA
This 486-nucleotide ribosomal RNA is filed under the name uncultured Hymenobacter sp. Its description in RNAcentral is "bacterial SSU rRNA". It matches the Rfam family "Bacterial small subunit ribosomal RNA", at positions 352 to 835 of the family's 1533-position model. The record is from RNAcentral. Lineage: Bacteria; Pseudomonadati; Bacteroidota; Cytophagia; Cytophagales; Hymenobacteraceae.